UAGUUUGAUCCUGGCUCAGAAUCAACGCUGGCGGCGUGCCUCAGACAUGCGAGUCGAACGAUUAAACUUUCCUUCGGGAAAGAUAUAAAGUGGCGCACGGGUGAGUAACACGUAGGUAAUGUACCUUUGGGUGGGGAAUAACUUAGGGGAACUUAAGCUAAUACCGCAUAAUGCAGCGGCUCCUUCGGGAGACAGUUGUUAAAGAUUUAUCGCCUAAAGAGCAGCCUGCGGCAGAUUAGCUAGUUGGUAAGGUAACGGCUUACCAAGGCGACGAUCUGUAUCCGACCUGAGAGGGUGGUCGGACACACUGACACUGAAUAACGGGUCAGACUCCUACGGGAGGCAGCAGUCGGGAAUUUUGGGCAAUGGGCGAAAGCCUGACCCAGCAACGCCGCGUGAAGGAUGAAGUCUUUCGGGAUGUAAACUUCGUAAGAAUAGGAAGAAUAAAUGACGGUUCUAUUUGUAAGGUCCGGCUAACUACGUGCCAGCAGCCGCGGUAAUACGUAGGGACCAAGCGUUGUUCGGAUUUACUGGGCGUAAAGGGCGCGUAGGCGGCGUGUCAAGUCAAUUGUGAAAUCUCCGAGCUUAACUCGGAACGGUCAAUUGAUACUGAUGUGCUAGAGUGCAGAAGGCGCAAUCGGAAUUCUUGGUGUAGCGGUGAAAUGCGUAGAUAUCAAGAGGAACACCUGAGGUGAACACGGGUUGCUGGGCUGACACUGACGC
Molecule: ribosomal RNA, 723 nt
Filed under: uncultured bacterium
Lineage: Bacteria
Description: bacterial SSU rRNA
Rfam family: Bacterial small subunit ribosomal RNA
Source: RNAcentral